This 253-nucleotide ribosomal RNA is filed under the name uncultured bacterium. RNAcentral's name for it is "partial 16S ribosomal RNA". It matches the Rfam family "Bacterial small subunit ribosomal RNA", at positions 524 to 776 of the family's 1533-position model. The record is from RNAcentral.
UACGUAGGGACCAAGCGUUGUUCGGAUUUACUGGGCGUAAAGGGCGCGUAGGCGGCAAUUCAAGUCAUCUGUGAAAUCUCCGGGCUUAACUCGGAACGGUCAGAUGAUACUGCUUUGCUCGAGUGCGGAAGGGGCAAUCGGAAUUCUUGGUGUAGCGGUUAAAUGCGUAGAUAUCAAGAGGAACACCUGAGGUGAAGACGGGUUGCUGGGCCGACACUGACGCUGAAGCGCGAAAGCCAGGGGAGCAAACGGG